Non-coding RNA from Erythranthe guttata (spotted monkey flower), 553 nucleotides. Lineage: Eukaryota; Viridiplantae; Streptophyta; Magnoliopsida; Lamiales; Phrymaceae. The record is from RefSeq and is a predicted model, not a curated record.
CAAAAGAGAAAGAUCUUUUUUUUUCCAGGAAUGUCCAUGUAAUCAUUCGCUUGAGAUCUGAUGACUUGGGCAAACAUAAACUAGCAAAUUAACAAAUUUUGGUAAGAAUUUGUUUAUUCAUGGUAGUGAGGUUGGCAUCAAAUGUUUUUUAUCGGACUUGCUUUCACUAUUGUUUAUAUGCUCAUUUUAGUAGCUUUUCUUUUCUCAUAAUCGACAGGUUUGUACUUUAAUAAGUCUAGAAUACUUUCGAGAUUCUUGUUUUGGUAGCAGGAUUGAUGCCGGACUCGGAAAUUAACUUCAGUUAUAGCAAUGUGAGAUGUUGGUAUCGAUGCCAUGUGGUAGCUAGAGAGGUUAUAAGCAUCAAUGUCCUAUACAAGAGCUCCAUUUUAUUUUGCUUAAUCAAACAAAAUUUACAUUGGGUUUUCUUGUUUUUUGAUCAUUUUUUGUUUCGUUUGUGGAAGGCUAACAGUGAUGUAGAUGAGUUUAUCACUUUUGAGAAUGAUAGAUACUUUAUUGUAACGAAUAAUUAUUUUAAUGAAAUGAUAUUUUUUUA